RNAcentral lists this ribosomal RNA (426 nucleotides) under uncultured bacterium. Its description in RNAcentral is "bacterial SSU rRNA". It matches the Rfam family "Bacterial small subunit ribosomal RNA", at positions 354 to 796 of the family's 1533-position model. The record is from RNAcentral.
GUGAGGAAUAUUGGGCAAUGGGCGCAAGCCUGACCCAGCAACGCCGCGUGGAGGAAGACGGCCUUUGGGUUGUAAACUCCUUUUGUCGGGGAAGAGGAAGGACGGUACCCGGCGAAUAAGUCACGGCUAACUACGUGCCAGCAGCCGCGGUAAUACGUAGGUGACAAGCGUUAUCCGGAAUUACUGGGCGUAAAGCGCACGCAGGCGGCCGAUCAAGUCUGACGUGAAAUCUCCUGGCUUAACUGGGAGGGGUCGUUGGAAACUGGUUGGCUUGAGGUGGUGAGAGGGGUGUGGAAUUCCCGGUGUAGUGGUGGAAUGCGUAGAUAUCGGGAGGAACACCAGUGGCGAAAGCGGCACCCUGGCACUGACCUGACGCUCAUGUGCGAAAGCGUGGGGAGCAAACGGGAUUAGAAACCCUAGUAGUCC